Molecule: long non-coding RNA, 350 nt
Filed under: Bos taurus (domestic cattle)
Lineage: Eukaryota; Metazoa; Chordata; Mammalia; Artiodactyla; Bovidae
Description: long non-coding RNA NONBTAT023462
Source: RNAcentral
CGUCAUUAGAAUUUAAUACAGCUGUGCACAGAAAUUGAGCACAAGGCAAAUCUAGCUUUAUUUGGGUUAUAGGUAAAUGGGACGAGGUAAAAAGAGUCCGUUCAUUGUGCCUCUAGUGUCCUUAUGUACAACUGUCCUCAUUUCAAAUUUUUCAUCCCAUUGUUAGGCCAUGCGUCCAGUCAUGUGUUUCAGUAUCUCAUUCAGAAAGCGUGGUCUCUAUAAUUAAAUGACGAUAAAGAGAGACACAGGACAGUAACCAUAGGAUAGAAUCUUUGCUCUUCUCUUUGUGUCUUGAAGGGCAGUGAGCAAGCUAGACCAGAAAGAAAGAGCCCUUUCAUCGUGCCCGUCAG